GGUGGAGCCUGCGGUUUAAUCGGACUCAACGCCGGGAAACUCACCAGAUAAGACAGCUGAAUGAUAGUCGGGCUGAAGACUCUACUUGACUAGCUGAGAGGAGGUGCAUGGCCGUCGUCAGUUCGUACUGUGAAGCAUCCUGUUAAGUCAGGCAACGAGCGAGACCCACGCCAACAGUUGCCAGCUCGUCCUCCGGGAUGGUGGGGACACUGUUGGGACCGCCUCUGCUAAAGAGGAGGAAGGAAUGGGCAACGGUAGGUCAGCAUGCCCCGAAUUAUCUGGGCUACACGCGGGCUACAAUGGGUGGGACAAUGGGUAUCGACACCGAAAGGUGAAGGCAAUCUCCUAAACCCAUCCGUAGUUCGGAUUGUGGGCUGCAACUCGCCCACAUGAAGCUGGAAUCUGUAGUAAUCGUGUCUCAAAAUGGCACGGUGAAUAUGUCCCUGCUCCUU
Molecule: ribosomal RNA, 452 nt
Filed under: uncultured Methanomicrobiales archaeon
Lineage: Archaea; Methanobacteriati; Methanobacteriota; Methanomicrobia; Methanomicrobiales
Description: bacterial SSU rRNA
Rfam family: Archaeal small subunit ribosomal RNA
Source: RNAcentral